This 468-nucleotide ribosomal RNA is filed under the name uncultured bacterium. RNAcentral describes it as "partial 16S ribosomal RNA". It matches the Rfam family "Bacterial small subunit ribosomal RNA", at positions 28 to 507 of the family's 1533-position model. The record is from RNAcentral.
GACGAACGCUGGCGGCGUGCUUAACACAUGCAAGUCGAACGGUGAAGCUCCAGCUUGCUGGAGUGGAUCAGUGGCGAACGGGUGAGUAACACGUGAGCAACCUGCCCCUGACUCUGGAAUAAGCGCUGGAAACGGCGUCUAAUACUGGAUACGAGAAGGGCCCGCAUGGGCACUUUCUGGAAAGUUUUUCGGUUGGGGAUGGGCUCGCGGCCUAUCAGCUUGUUGGUGAGGUAAUGGCUCACCAAGGCGACGACGGGUAGCCGGCCUGAGAGGGCGACCGGCCAUACUGGGACUGAGACACGGCCCAGACUCCUACGGGAGGCAGCAGUGGGGAAUAUUGCACAAUGGGCGAAAGCCUGAUGCAGCGACGCCGCGUGAGGGAUGACGGCCUUCGGGUUGUAAACCUCUUUCAGCAGGGAAGAAGCGAAAGUGACGGUACCUGCAGAAGAAGCACCGGCUAACUACGUG